This 157-nucleotide ribosomal RNA is filed under the name uncultured bacterium. Its description in RNAcentral is "partial 16S ribosomal RNA". It matches the Rfam family "Bacterial small subunit ribosomal RNA", at positions 355 to 509 of the family's 1533-position model. The record is from RNAcentral.
UGAGGAAUAUUGGUCAAUGGGAGAGAUCCUGAACCAGCCAAGCCGCGUGAGGGAAGACGGCCCUAUGGGUCGUAAACCUCUUUUGUCGGAGAACAAAACCCGGGACGUGUCCCGGACUGCGUGUAUCCGAAGAAAAAGCAUCGGCUAACUCCGUGCC